GAAGCUCGCCAGGCCGCCGCUGGUGCAAGUGCCGAAAGGCCGCACUGGAGGAACGUCCGGACUGCAUAGGGCAGCGUAGCAGCUAACAGCUGUCCACCGUGAGGUGAGGAUCAGAGCAACAGAGACGAGUCGCUGCGGGCAACCGCAGCGGGUGAAACGGGCAAUCUCUACGCGCAGCAAUACCAAGUAGGCCAGUGUUGACCUGUGUCCCGGGGAGCUGGCGGGUAGGUAGCACCGAGCCGGUUGGCGACAACCGGCCCAGAGUAAUGGCGGUCACGCGCCGAGCAUCGAAAGAUGCGCGGCGCGCACAAAAUCCGGCGUAUCGGCGGGCUUCACAC
RNAcentral lists this RNase P RNA (338 nucleotides) under Ramlibacter sp. Its description in RNAcentral is "RNase P RNA component class A". It matches the Rfam family "Bacterial RNase P class A". From Rfam's summary of the family: Ribonuclease P (RNase P) is a ubiquitous endoribonuclease, found in archaea, bacteria and eukarya as well as chloroplasts and mitochondria. The record is from RNAcentral. Lineage: Bacteria; Pseudomonadati; Pseudomonadota; Betaproteobacteria; Burkholderiales; Comamonadaceae.